UGAAUGCAUUUUUUACUCUCUCUCUCUUGCUCAGCUGCUGGCUCCAUCCAGAAAAGAUGUUUAUAUGGAGCUUCCUGGGACCAGUCUGUGUCAUUAUCUCUGUCAAUUUAGUGUUGUUUUUCAUGACCCUCUGGAUUUUGCAAAGCAAGCUGUCUUCCCUCAACGGCGACGUAUCCACCCUCCAGAACACAAGGAUGCUGACAUUCAAAGCGACGG
Herpailurus yagouaroundi (jaguarundi) is the source of this 216-nucleotide long non-coding RNA. RefSeq lists it as uncharacterized. The record is from RefSeq and is a predicted model, not a curated record. NCBI's taxonomy places the organism in Eukaryota, Metazoa, Chordata, Mammalia, Carnivora, Felidae. The transcript is spliced from 3 exons.